UUCUUGCAAGGGGACCCAGUGUCAGAAGAGAUUGGGGAAGAUGUCUCAACUCCAGCCAGAAGGAAGGACCUGACUGAAGCAACCUGCAUGGAGGGGCAAGAAGCUGUAAGAAAAAGAGGCUUGAAAAAAACAGCAGGAGUUGGGUUUUGACAAAGAACUGUUGAGCCCAGCAAAGGGCUGUGAAACUGAUAGUCAGGGAGAGGCUUGUUUUGAAACUCUACCCUCAUUUGGAUUCAAUCACUGCCUUCUCUGACUCCUCUGGUCUUCAGGCCUGACAAUACUGGCAACAGUCACCCUCUUCACCCAUCCAGAGAAUUUUGCUGAGCUACAGGAUUAAUCACACCAGCUAGCUCUCUUGUUGGCCUGGCCUCGGUCAUGAAAUUCUAUCAUCUCUAAGGACACAAUUGUUGACAACUGCAAUCUGUCAU
Long non-coding RNA from Mauremys reevesii (Reeves's turtle), 428 nucleotides. RefSeq lists it as uncharacterized. NCBI's taxonomy places the organism in Eukaryota, Metazoa, Chordata, Testudines, Geoemydidae. The record is from RefSeq and is a predicted model, not a curated record. The transcript is spliced from 2 exons.